Molecule: long non-coding RNA, 1421 nt
Organism: Salvelinus sp. IW2-2015
Lineage: Eukaryota; Metazoa; Chordata; Actinopteri; Salmoniformes; Salmonidae
Source: RefSeq, a predicted model, not a curated record
CUCAGCCAAUGAGAGCCGUAUCAGGACAGAGUCUCAGCGGAUUGGCGGAGCUGACUUCCUGGUGUGGAGGUGGCUCCAGCCCUCUCUGAGCUGCGACCAGAUCUCACUCAUCCCCUCCAAAGUCUGGCAGGGCAAAGCGUUCCCUCUGGACAGGAGGAACUCUCCUCCCAACAGUUUAACACCAUGUCUGAAGAUCAGAAACAUGUUUGAUCCAGUCAUGGAGGUUGGUGAAAACUGGCAUCUGCCAUCCACGGGCCAUCUUGGAGAAGUGUUGUGACAACGACGGUAUCGUCCACAUCGCUGUCGACAAGAACUCCAGAGAGGGCUGUGUCUAUGUGAAGUGUCUGUCAGCAGAACACUCGGGGAAAGCCUUCAAGGCGCUACAUGGCUCCUGGUUCGAUGGUAAGCUGGUGACGGUGAAGUACCUGCGUCUGGACCGCUACCACCAGCGUUUUCCUCAGGCCCAGGGCUGUACCACCUCCCUGAAGCCCUCCAACACCUACAUGAACACCAUGUCCAGACUACGCCACCACACCAGCCCUGAUAGCAGCUCUAACUCUCUAGGCUUCUCCUGAGGGGGGAGGCAGAUUACCCCAGCCUCCUCUCUCUCCCUCACAGAUACCACCGCUACCAACCCAACCAGCUCCUGUGUCACGGUCUCACCUCAACACAGGCCCCCUUCCUUCAGUCUCCCCUUAACAAGCCUCUACUAGAGGUGAUGGCAGCUGGGUGGAACCGUCUGUCUCAACUCACAGGGCUGGGUGGAACCGUCUGUCUCGACUCACAGGGCUGGGUGGAACCGUCUGUCUCCACUCACAGGGCUGGGUGGAACCGUCUGUCUCGACUCACAGGGCUGGGUGGAACCGUCUGUCUCGACUCACAGGGCUGGGUGACCCGUCUGUCUCGACUCACAGGGCUGGGUGACCCGUCUGUCUCGACUCACAGGGCUGGGUGACCCGUCUGUCUCAACUCACAGGGCUGGGUGGAACCGUCUCAACAAACAGGGCUUUUUUUUCUCUUUUAAAAUGGGACUGACUUUUGGUUGUCCACAACCUGUCUAGACCACAGGAGUGGUGGGAGGCUUUAGACUGACAGUCCUGCAGUGUUUUUUGUUGUAAAGACCAAUCAGAGUUUUGAAAACAAAACGAUGAGCUAAACUUUGGAAGACCACUUGAACAACCAAUGGGCUGGGAGAUUGGAGACUAGGGGGAGGUGGUCUGAGCUUUUGUACGAGGAAGCUGGAGAUGUGUGAUUCGCCGGUGCGGUAGACACUAUUUAAUUUUUGUUAUUUUUGUAUUACAAACUUUAUGGAUUUAACAAGGAAACAAAACUUCCAUUUCGUUCUAAUGGCAUAUUUAAACAGAUAUGAGAGAGAAACAACCCCUUCUUUUCUCUUGUCUCCCAUCUCUCUCCCUCCAUAC